UAGGUGAACCUGCGGAAGGAUCAUUACUUUAUGUGAUGUUCAAAUUUGAAUUCGCAAUGAAAUGAUCGUUGUGAAACGGCUGUCGCUGGUGUCUAAGUGUUGCUGAUACGGUUGUGAACGUCCGUGGCUGUAUAUGUGGUGACAUGUUAGGACUCUAAUGAGUUUAAGACCUAAUGAGCCUCUUAAGUGAGGCCGCCAGCAACCUUUUUUUUCUCUACAUUUUAAAAAAAAAAACUAAAAUUCUACCCUUAUCGGUGGAUCACUAGGCUCGUGGAUCGAUGAAGAACGCAGCAAACUGCGAUAAUUAUUGCGAACUGCAGAAGUAUUGAGCACAAAAGUUUUGAACGCAAAUGGCCGCAUUGAGGUCAAACUCUUUGCAACGUCUGGUUCAGGGUCAUUUUCUCUUAUAGCGGAAGCUUUAAUUUCUAUAAUGAUGUUGUUGCUUUAUAUUUUAAAAGGAUUUUUGUUUAUUCAUGUAUUAAAUCUAACUGUGAAAAUCAAACAAUUUUGACCUGAACUCAGUCGAGAGCACCCGCUGAACUUAAGCAUAUCAGUAAGCGGAGGAAAAGAAACUAACCAGG
Molecule: ribosomal RNA, 581 nt
Filed under: Meloidogyne incognita (southern root-knot nematode)
Lineage: Eukaryota; Metazoa; Nematoda; Chromadorea; Rhabditida; Meloidogynidae
Description: eukaryotic LSU rRNA
Rfam family: 5.8S ribosomal RNA (bases 244-397)
Source: RNAcentral